GACGAACGCUGGCGGCGUGCCUAAUACAUGCAAGUAGAACGCUGAAGGAGGAGCUUGCUUCCUUGGAUGAGUUGCGAACGGGUGAGUAACGCGUAGGUAACCUGCCUGUUAGCGGGGGAUAACUAUUGGAAACGAUAGCUAAUACCGCAUAAUAGUAGUUGUUGCAUGACAUUUGCUUAAAAGGUGCAAUUGCAUCACUACCAGAUGGACCUGCGUUGUAUUAGCUAGUUGGUGAGGUAACGGCUCACCAAGGCGACGAUACAUAGCCGACCUGAGAGGGUGAUCGGCCACACUGGGACCGAGACACGGCCCAGACUCCUACGGGAGGCAGCAGUAGGGAAUCCUCGGCAAUAGACGGAAGUCUGGACGAGCAACGCCACGUGAAUGAAGAAUGUUUUCCGAUCGUAAAGCUCUUUUGUGAAAGAAGAACGAGUGUGAGAGUGGAAAGUGCACACUGUGACGGUAUCUUACCAGAAAGGCACGGCUAACUACGUG
This 495-nucleotide ribosomal RNA is filed under the name uncultured bacterium. RNAcentral describes it as "partial 16S ribosomal RNA". It matches the Rfam family "Bacterial small subunit ribosomal RNA", at positions 28 to 507 of the family's 1533-position model. The record is from RNAcentral.